UAGCUUGCUAAGACUGAUGGCGACCGGCGCACGGGUGAGUAACACGUAUCCAACCUGCCGUCUACUCUUGGACAGCCUUCUGAAAGGAAGAUUAAUACAAGAUGGCAUCAUGAGUCCACAUGUUCACAUGAUUAAAGGUAUUCCGGUAGACGAUGGGGAUGCGUUCCAUUAGAUAGUAGGCGGGGUAACGGCCCACCUAGUCUUCGAUGGAUAGGGGUUCUGAGAGGAAGGUCCCCCACAUUGGAACUGAGACACGGUCCAAACUCCUACGGGAGGCAGCAGUGAGGAAUAUUGGUCAAUGGGCGAGAGCCUGAACCAGCCAAGUAGCGUGAAGGAUGACUGCCCUAUGGGUUGUAAACUUCUUUUAUAAAGGAAUAAAGUCGGGUAUGCAUACCCGUUUGCAUGUACUUUAUGAAUAAGGAUCGGCUAACUCCGUGCCAGCAGCCGCGGUAAUACGGAGGAUCCGAGCGUUAUCCGGAUUUAUUGGGUUUAAAGGGAGCGUAGAUGGAUGUUUAAGUCAGUUGUGAAAGUUUGCGGCUCAACCGUAAAAUUGCAGUUGAUACUGGAUAUCUUGAGUGCAGUUGAGGCAGGCGGAAUUCGUGGUGUAGCGGUGAAAUGCUUAGCUAUCACGAAGAACUCCGAUUGCGAAGGCAGCCUGCUAAGCUGCAACUGAC
This 674-nucleotide ribosomal RNA is filed under the name uncultured Bacteroidales bacterium. Its description in RNAcentral is "bacterial SSU rRNA". It matches the Rfam family "Bacterial small subunit ribosomal RNA", at positions 73 to 744 of the family's 1533-position model. Lineage: Bacteria; Pseudomonadati; Bacteroidota; Bacteroidia; Bacteroidales. The record is from RNAcentral.